RNAcentral lists this long non-coding RNA (844 nucleotides) under Danio rerio (zebrafish). RNAcentral describes it as "lncRNA si:dkey-53i3.1 (ENSDARG00000096997.2)". The stretch from base 300 to 371 matches the Rfam family "mir-133 microRNA precursor family". The record is from RNAcentral. Lineage: Eukaryota; Metazoa; Chordata; Actinopteri; Cypriniformes; Danionidae.
CGCAAACUUCCCGUCAGUCCCGUCAACACGUUUGGCGUAAAAUAUGUUUGAGUUCAACAUUAGAACCGAGGACACUCUGGUAUUGACGGCAAUGCUCUGCAUUUCUUUUCAUCCCCAUCUCUUUCUCAUCUGUCCACCCCCCCACCCUCUCUCUCUCCCUCUCUCUAUCCUCAAAUUCUCAAACGCUGAAUCAGCUGCUUGGGAAUGGACGCUCCCCCUGCAUCUUGGAUGCACAAGCUGCCUCUCCCCGGUUCUGCUCUCGUCCUGCAUUUGAGACUCUGGUCUCCCCCUAAAAUGCUUUGCUAAAGCUGGUAAAAUGGAACCAAAUCAACUGUUUUAUGGAUUUGGUCCCCUUCAACCAGCUGUAGCUGUGCAUUGAUCACCCCGUGGAGCUCUGAUGAAGAAAGCACAAUAUUUGCUCUGUCUGGAUCACAACGCAAGACCGACUGUUGAAUGAAUGUCCCUUUAAGCACUAAUAUCAUGAUUAAACACUCUUUGUCCUCUUAAGACCCAGGUGAGUAUUAUAUAUGUCAUGUCACAUUUUUUAUUUAUGAGCUAUAAUUGUUGAUUAUGUAUUCGAGCCAAAUCACUAUCAUUGGAAAGAGGGCUCUGGGCUCUUUAUGGCCUGCCAUUGAUUUCUUGUCUCUGGGCUGAAAGAGUGAGAGCGCGGGAUGAGCCAGGUUGGAUGGAUGUAGGGAACGAGGGAGGGGUGUGUGCGUGCGUGUGCGUGUCAAAGCUGUUGAAUAAGUAAAACAGUCGUUCCUUUUCUCUCUCUCUCUCUUGCUUCUACACUUGUCGUGAUUCUUAAUGCACAUGCUUGAUCAAUAAAGCUCAUCCUGAAGUU